CGUAGGCAGCGAGCGUUGUUCGGAGUUACUGGGCGUAAAGCGUGCGUAGGCGGUGUCCUAAGUUUGGUGUGAAAUCUCCCGGCUCAACUGGGAGGGUGCACCGAAAACUGGGGUGCUGGAGUGUGGGAGAGGUAGGCGGAAUUCCUGGUGUAGCGGUGAAAUGCGUAGAUAUCAGGAGGAACACCUGUGGUGUAGACGGCUUACUGGACCAUGACUGACGCUGAGGCACGAAAGCGUGGGGAGCAAACAGGAUUAGAUACCCUGGUAGUCCACGCCCUAAACGAUGCAUACUUGGUGUGGGUAAUUCAUCUUAUCCGUGCCGGAGCUAACGCGUUAAGUAUGCCGCCUGGGGAGUACGGUCGCAAGGCUG
RNAcentral lists this ribosomal RNA (370 nucleotides) under uncultured organism. RNAcentral's name for it is "bacterial SSU rRNA". It matches the Rfam family "Bacterial small subunit ribosomal RNA", at positions 526 to 896 of the family's 1533-position model. The record is from RNAcentral.